GAUGAAGAACGCAGCGAAAUGCGAUAAGUAAUGCGAAUUGCAGAAUUCAGUGAAUCAUCGAAUCUUUGAACGCACAUUGCGCCCUCUGGUAUUCCGGGGGGCAUGCCUGUUCGAGCGUCAUUAUAACCACUCAAGCUCUCGCUUGGUAUUGGGGCUCGCGGUUCCGCGGCCCCUAAAAUCAGUGGCGGUGCCUGUCGGCUCUACGCGUAGUAAUACUCCUCGCGAUUGAGUCCGGUAGGUCUACUUGCCAGCAACCCCCAAUUUUUACAGGUUGACCUCGGAUCAGGUAGGGAUACCCGCUGAACUUAAGCAUAUCAAUAAGCGGAGGA
RNAcentral lists this unclassified non-coding RNA (329 nucleotides) under soil metagenome. Its description in RNAcentral is "partial contains 5.8S ribosomal RNA, internal transcribed spacer 2, and large subunit ribosomal RNA". The stretch from base 1 to 120 matches the Rfam family "5.8S ribosomal RNA", at positions 35 to 154 of the family's 154-position model. The record is from RNAcentral.